AGAAGAUUAGCUCAAUUGGUAGAGUAUUAGUUUCCAAAACUAACGGUUAUGGGUUCAAGUCCCUUAUCUUCUG
This 73-nucleotide transfer RNA is filed under the name Chlamydomonas leiostraca. Its description in RNAcentral is "tRNA-Trp". It matches the Rfam family "tRNA". From Rfam's summary of the family: Transfer RNA (tRNA) molecules are approximately 80 nucleotides in length. Their secondary structure includes four short double-helical elements and three loops (D, anti-codon, and T loops). Lineage: Eukaryota; Viridiplantae; Chlorophyta; Chlorophyceae; Chlamydomonadales; Chlamydomonadaceae. The record is from RNAcentral.